AAGCAGUCAUACCUCAGGCUGACCGUCCCUCUGGGUGGCGAGGACAAGACGGUGUGUGUGUGCUGUCUCUGCUCUCCCGUGCCCACCGGACGAUUAUGCGUUGGUGACACCUGCGACCCCAGGGUAAGCAGCACUGCUAUCAUUUCCACCUUCUCAAUAAGGAAGCGGAGAAGUGAAGUGAAGUAAGCCACCACACGAAGGAGAUGAUUUAAUUAACAGAGCAAAGGCAAAGAAAUUGCAUUUUGGUUGGUCACAGAGGUAACCUGAAAAGAAGCCUGAACUGGACUGUUCCACCCACAUGUUACACUUGUUUAUACACCAGGGUCUUUUUCUUUUAUUAUGUUCAGCAUCUGAGUUCAGCUAUUGAUUCUACAGAGCCUUUUGGAAACAUACAACUAUGCCACCAACACAAAAAAAUCUUGAUAUAUUUCUAACAAGUUGUUUAUCAAUAGCUGCAGGUCUCUCCUAGUUUUCCAAAAUGCCAGUCAUCACACCUUUUUCACAGAGAAGCUGGGCUGGUCUGGGCUAUGAAACACAUUGCUGAAGAGUUUACAGAUACCAGUGAAGAAAUUGAGUACUUCUUGGGAAUGCAAAUUGGUGCAGCUACUCUGAAAAACUGUAUGGAGAUUCCUCAAAAAACUAAACAUA
Leopardus geoffroyi (Geoffroy's cat) is the source of this 648-nucleotide long non-coding RNA. RefSeq lists it as uncharacterized. The transcript has 4 exons. Lineage: Eukaryota; Metazoa; Chordata; Mammalia; Carnivora; Felidae. The record is from RefSeq and is a predicted model, not a curated record.